RNAcentral lists this ribosomal RNA (801 nucleotides) under uncultured bacterium. RNAcentral's name for it is "bacterial SSU rRNA". It matches the Rfam family "Bacterial small subunit ribosomal RNA", at positions 8 to 811 of the family's 1533-position model. The record is from RNAcentral.
AGAGUUUGAUCCUGGCUCAGGACGAACGCUGGCGGCGUGCUUAACACAUGCAAGUCGAGCGAAGCAGUUAAGAAGAUUCUUCGGAUGAUUCUUAACUGACUGAGCGGCGGACGGGUGAGUAACGCGUGGGUGACCUGCCCCAUACCGGGGGAUAACAGCUGGAAACGGCUGCUAAUACCGCAUAAGCGCACAGAGCUGCAUGGCUCGGUGUGAAAAACUCCGGUGGUAUGGGAUGGGCCCGCGUCUGAUUAGGCAGUUGGCGGGGUAACGGCCCACCAAACCGACGAUCAGUAGCCGGCCUGAGAGGGCGACCGGCCACAUUGGGACUGAGACACGGCCCAAACUCCUAGGGGAGGCAGCAGUGGGGAAUAUUGCACAAUGGGGGAAACCCUGAUGCAGCGACGCCGCGUGAGCGAAGAAGUAUUUCGGUAUGUAAAGCUCUAUCAGCAGGGAAGAUAAUGACGGUACCUGACUAAGAAGCCCCGGCUAACUACGUGCCAGCAGCCGCGGUAAUACGUAGGGGGCAAGCGUUAUCCGGAUUUACUGGGUGUAAAGGGAGCGUAGACGGCAAGGCAAGUCUGAUGUGAAAACCCAGGGCUUAACCCUGGGACUGCAUUGGAAACUGUCUGGCUCGAGUGCCGGAGAGGUAAGCGGAAUUCCUAGUGUAGCGGUGAAAUGCGUAGAUAUUAGGAAGAACACCAGUGGCGAAGGCGGCUUACUGGACGGUAACUGACGUUGAGGCUCGAAAGCGUGGGGAGCAAACAGGAUUAAAUACCCUGGUAGUCCACGCCGUAAACGAUG